This 71-nucleotide transfer RNA is filed under the name Stegodyphus mimosarum. It matches the Rfam family "tRNA". From Rfam's summary of the family: Transfer RNA (tRNA) molecules are approximately 80 nucleotides in length. The record is from Rfam by way of RNAcentral. Lineage: Eukaryota; Metazoa; Arthropoda; Arachnida; Araneae; Eresidae.
GCCUUAGUGGUGUAACGGUAGCACAUUCGACGCGUAUUGAAGAGAUCCAGGUUCGAAUCCUGGCAAGGGCA